Molecule: ribosomal RNA, 364 nt
Filed under: Clostridioides difficile
Lineage: Bacteria; Bacillati; Bacillota; Clostridia; Peptostreptococcales; Peptostreptococcaceae
Description: bacterial SSU rRNA
Rfam family: Bacterial small subunit ribosomal RNA
Source: RNAcentral
UUUUAGUUGAGAGUUUGAUCCUGGCUUAGGAUAAACUCUGGCGGCGUGCCUAACACAUGCAAGUUGAGCGAUUUACUUCGGUAAAGAGCGGCGGACGGGUGAGUAACGCGUGGGUAACCUACCCUGUACACACGGAUAACAUACCGAAAGGUAUGCUAAUACGGGAUAAUAUAGUUGAGAGGCAUCUCUUAAAUAUCAAAGGUGAGCCAGUACAGGAUGGACCCGCGUCUGAUGAGUUAGUUGGUAAGGUAACGGCUUACCAAGGCGACGAUCAGUAGCCGACCUGAGAGGGUGAUCGGCCACAUUGGAACUGAGACACGGUACAAACUCCUACGGGAGGCAGCAGUGGGGAAUAUUGCACAAU